CGGAAGUUUAAUAUAUGUGGGAUGUUACGGAGGUGUGGUGCUACGGCUCACUCUUGGCAGCUACGCGUACAGCGGCGGACAACCAGCUCUUGGCAUGUUAAACGGCUCUCACACGGGGUACGCCGCCAUGUGGCCGCCCGGGUGGUUGCGCUGCUCUCUUGAUCGUGCUCUGCUUCGUUCGCCAGUUUCAUGCAUGUUGGCGCUGGCCCCGAUCGAACGCUGCUCCGGCCGUCCGGCGACGAAUUCUUUCCGCCAUGAAGAUGCAUGUACAUGCAAUUCUCCUAUGGCAAGGCACGAGUAUAUGGCGUAAAGCACCUUGACACAUAUGUGAGUCAUACUAUUUUUCAGAUUAUCAUAAUAUCACGAAAGUUAUGAGCAGAGUUAAAUUCUUUGCUCAUGUGAGCUAAGAAAGCACAUUGGUUCCAUCAUUCACCUUCUUUCAAUUAUUAAAUCCCCUGACUAUGAAUGCAUCAGAGCCACAUCUUCCAUUUGUUUUUUUUAAGAGAAAACAAGGUAGUCAGUAUGCACGAUAUGUUUCUUUCGAAUACUCUAGCCAAGGAAAAGAUUUUAAACAGCAAUAUUGAAAUCGAUGGUGAUUUUUUCCUGUUUCAUUGUAUGAAUAUUUUUCCAUGUAUGGCUGUUAGGCUUCCUUCAAAAUAUAGAAGCGGCGUGCUUCUUCUUGCUUAUCAUGAGGGAGUUCCUAAAUUUGAUGACGCAUACCGGGGUCCCUUACAUAUUUUGUGCUUUCAAUUGUACCUUCUCCUCCUAUAAUUUCUUCCCGUGUCACAAUCUGUUGGUCGUCAGUUUGCAUAUCAAUAGGAAUAUCAUUUGUUGUGUUAUCUCCUACAGGUUGCUCCUCAGGUUCGGCAUCAGUAAUGUUGGAGCUUGAAGUCGCCCCGACUGGCUUGAAAAAGGAACUUAUCCCCCUAGCUGUUUGUGUCUUUCGCUUCCUCAUUAACUACUACUCCCUUCGUUCCUAAAUAUAAAUCCUUUUAGAAGUUUCACUAGAAGAUUAUAUACGGAUGUAUAUAAACAUACUUUAGAAUGUAGAUUCACUCAUUUUACUUUGUAUGUAGUCUCCUACUGAAAUCUUUAAAAAGACUUAUAUUUCGGAACGAAGGGAAUAUAUAGAACGAAAAACAUGAUAAAUGGAUUAAUUCACUAUUUUGUACACAUCCCUAAUACAUCAGAUUAGAAUUGUAAUCAGGUACGAGUACGUACAUUACCUACUAUAUAGAACGAAAAACAUGAUUAACGAAUUAAUUUACUACUUUAUACACAUCUCUAAUGCAUCAAACUUCACUAGUACCCUUUUUAUUGAUCUUCCGGUAAAGCCACCUUCUUCUCCUGCAGACUUAGACAAUGGACAAACAACAAAAGCGGCUGCGACAGCGAGUCGGCGCAACCGACGGCUGGACGGCUGCGGCAGCAAGGAAAACGACGCACGAGGAAACGAUCAGGAGAUUAGAUCGAUCAAUCCCAUGUGGUUAUAGGGCAAACUAACAACACAAGGCAGCCACGUAAAUGUGCUUCAAACGUGUAUUCUAUUUCUACGCGGCACUUCGUUUAUUUGUAAUUCUUCAACCGUGACAACGAUUCACUCGCAAGUCGCAACGUAUCUGGGCAACAUGUUCGUUUCUGACAGUAUAAAUUGAAAAGUUACCAUCCAUCAAUAACGAUUACACAUAUUCACU
Molecule: long non-coding RNA, 1694 nt
Filed under: Hordeum vulgare
Lineage: Eukaryota; Viridiplantae; Streptophyta; Magnoliopsida; Poales; Poaceae
Description: long non-coding RNA (HVUL_LNC005802)
Source: RNAcentral